Molecule: RNA transcript, 4065 nt
Organism: Mangifera indica (mango)
Lineage: Eukaryota; Viridiplantae; Streptophyta; Magnoliopsida; Sapindales; Anacardiaceae
Gene name: autophagy-related protein 18h-like
Exons: 11
Source: RefSeq, a predicted model, not a curated record
AACAAAGCAAAACCGUCUCCUGUCAACGUCAAAAAUUAACUCCAUUUUAUUUCAUUUUGGUUUUUUUUUUUUUAAAUAAACUACUCAACCACCACCACCGCCUCCUCCACAUAGAAGAACGUCGGUUUCAUUUGUCGUGGCUACUUUUGAAUUUCUCGCGAGCGACGAUUUAUGAUCGCCUGGUUGACUCGCCGGUGACGCCCCGGUGGCCGGUCAAUUUUUUGGACUAUCGUUUUGACUAUGAAGAGCAAUCACAAUAACAUUAACAGCAAUGGAAAUCAUAUUGUUAAUCAUAAGAACGGGAAAUUGAUUCCGAAUUCGUUGAAGUUCAUUUCUUCUUGUAUUAAAACCGCUUCUUCAGGUAUCAGGUCAGCUGGUGCCUCUGUAGCCGCUUCUAUUUCCAGCGAUUCUCAGGAGAAUAAAGACCAGGUAUUGUGGUCUUCAUUUGACAGACUAGAGGUUAGUCCAUCUUCCUAUAGACGUGUUCUCUUACUUGGAUACACCAAUGGUUUUCAAGUUCUUGACGUCGAAGAGGCCUCUAAUGUCAGUGAACUUGUUUCAAGGCGUGAUGAUCCAGUUACAUUUUUACAGAUGCAGCCCUUCCCUGCAAAGUCUGAACAUCAUGAAGGAUAUAGAAAUUCUCAUCCUUUACUCCUAGUUGUAGCGUGUGACGAAUCAAAGAGCAGUUCAGGUUUGUUACCUACAGGGAGAGAUUGGCUGGUAAGAGAUGGUUAUGAUGAGCCUCAAGUAGGAAACCUUGCCACUGCUCCCAGAGCUGUUCGAUUUUACUCAUUAAGGUCUCAUAACUAUGUGCAUAUUCUCAGAUUCCGAUCAACUGUUUAUAUGAUUAGAUGCAGUCCUCGAAUAGUGGCUGUGGGUCUUGCCUCUCAAAUAUAUUGCUUUGAUGCUCUCACUCUCGAAAAUAAGUUUAGUGUCCUUACUUAUCCUGUCCCUCAAUUGGGAGGCCAAGUAGUGCCUGGGGUUAAUAUUGGAUAUGGUCCAAUGGCUGUGGGUCCCCGAUGGUUAGCUUAUACCUCCAACAACCCAUUGCUCCCGAAUGCUGGCCGCUUGAGCCCACAAAGUCUUACUCCUCCAGGUGUAAGUCCAUCAACUUCACCUAGCAAUGGAAGUCUGGUGGCUCGGUAUGCUAUGGAAUCUGGUAAACAGUUAGCUGCAGGGUUGAUAAAUUUGGGUGACAUGGGCUAUAAAACUUUGUCUAGAUACUACCAAGAUAUUGUCCCUGAUGGUUCUAGUCCUCCUUUAUCUUCCAAUUCAAGCUGGAAAGUUCCACGUGGUGCAUCACAUUCAGCAGAAACUGAUAUUGCUGGGAUGGUUGUUGUGAAAGAUUUUGUGUCCAGGGCUGUCAUAUCACAGUUUCGAGCUCAUACCAGUCCAAUUUCUGCUCUAUGUUUUGAUCCAAGUGGAACUUUAUUGGUGACUGCAUCAAUACAUGGAAAUAAUAUAAAUGUUUUCCGGAUCCUGCCAUCCUGUGCAAAACAUCGAACAUCUACAGCCUCUCAAAACUAUGAUUGGAGUUCUUCUCACGUGCACCUUUAUAAGCUUCAUCGUGGCAUGACAUCAGCUGUGAUACAAGAUAUUUGUUUUAGUAAUUAUAGCCAGUGGGUUGCCAUUGUUACAUCAAGGGGAACUUGCCACAUUUUUGUUCUUGCCCCUUUUGGUGGUGAGACUGUGCUUCAAAUACAGAAUACUAAUGUAGACGGGCCUUGUCUCACACCAGUCCUUUCUCUACCAUGGUGGUCUGAUCCAUUUUUCAUGACAAAUCAACAUUCUUUUCCUUCAUCACCACCAGUACCUGUUACGCUCUCUGUGGUUAGCAGAAUAAAAAAUAAUAAUUCUGGUUGGCUUAAUACAGUUAGCAAUGCUGCAUCUUCUGCAGCAGGAAAGGCCUUCGUUCCAUCUGGUGCAGUAGCUGCCCUCUUUCAUAGUUCUGUGCCUCAGGAUUUGCUACCUGCUCACCUAAAAGUCAAUGCUUUAGAGCACUUAAUGGUUUUCACUCCUUCUGGUAAUGUUGUUCAGUAUAAAUUACUAUCAUCUACUAGAGGAGAGACAAGUGAAACCUCUCUGGGAACAGGGCAGAGUUUUUCUGCACAGAUACAAGAUGAGGAGUUAGCAGUAAAAGUUGAACCUGUUCAAUGGUGGGAUGUGUGUCGAAGAACAGAUUGGCCUGAAAGAGAGGAGUGCAUUUCUGGAAUUUCUGUUGGUCCGAAAGAAGUUUCAGAGAUGAUCAUGGAUACUUCUGAUUGUGAAGAUAAUGAUACUGGGCAUAAGGAGUUUGUAAAACUCCAUGACCAAUCUCACUUAUAUAUUGCCAAUGCAGAGGUGCAGAUGAGCUCUGGACGGAUACUUCUCUGGCAAAAUCCCAAGAUACACUUCUAUACAAUGAAUCCUUCGGAGGCUGAUGAGCAAGAUUCCACUAAAGAACAAACUGGUGGAGAGAUUAAAGUUGAGAAGAUUCCUGUUCAUUAUGUUGAGGUUAGGCGGAAGGAUUUACUGCCUGUUUUUGACCAUUUUCACAAGAUUCAAUCCGUCUGGAAUGAGAGGGGCAUUAUUGGAAGAAAAUCUACAGUUUCACUUUCUGAGUCUUAUGAAGCCAAAGAGAAGUAUUUUGAAGAAACUGAUACUUCAGAAUCUAAGUCAGCUUCACCUCACUCAGUUGAAAACUCAGAUGGAUCAUCAAAGAUUACUUAUCCAUCCAUAAACGGGAAUGAAAAUUUUGGUACAGGAAAAAGCAGGUUUGAUUUGGCAUCAGCUACACUGAAUCAAAUCUUGCUCAAAGAAGGAAAGGGUUCAAUUUUGUUGAAACAGUCUGCGGUAAAUGGUUCUCCCAUAGAGAAUAGCAAUUUUCCAAAUAUUAUAUCAUCUAUAACAGGUGGCUCACUUUCUUCUGGAGGAGCCAUAGCAAAAGAGGUUCAGUCAUCAACCAGUAAUGGGACUGCUGAAAUUAUAAACGUAAGUUCUAAUCAUUUCAAAUUGAGUACAAGCACUAUAGAUGACAGCCCAGUAGAAGAAUUGCUGGAUUUUGAACAUUUUUUCCAAGAACCCUGCAAAGCUUCAGCCUCAAAUGAAUCUCGUGAACCUGCUGGAAUUGUCACUGAUGUUAACAGCAGCAACAGUCCUUGUGAUAAAGAUAAAUCUGAAGAAGAUUGUGAAAAUGAUAAAUCCGAGGACGAUUGUGAUCAUGAUGACAUGCUUGGAGGUGUUUUUGCCUUCUCAGAAGAAGGUUGAUUUAUACCUUUGUGUUAUCUGUGAUUGAAAUAUUAGUUGAAAGGUUGGUCAAAGGUCUGCCUUAUGGAGGGUAGAAUCUAAUAUUCUUUCAACUAUAAUCAAGGAAACUUCCUGCUUUCAUGAUAUUUUACUUGUGGGACUUGGGAGCAUCUUCCUCUUGAUUUGUGUUGUUAAAGUGUGUGUGUGGUCUUGUUACCAUCAGAAAGCUCUGUUUCAUCACAUAUUGGUAGUCAAAGUGCAAUUUACUAUCGUGCCGAAAAGGAGAAACAUAGUAGAUUGUUAAAGUUUCUCAGCCUUCCUUGGCCACAAAUCUACCUAGCUAUAUUGCAUGUGAUCAUUUCAUUGCCCAGCUUGAUAAAGAUGCUUUUGUUUUGGGGAGGUGAGGCUUUAAGGGUGUAUAUUGAUGGGUCUGGAUCAUUAAAUUGCACGUUAUUUGUCCAUUUACAAAUAUUUUGAGCAUUCAUUCAUCCAAAUCUGUUCAUUAAUAUAACUUUGGAUACCCAGACAUCGUAUAACUUUGUAUUCUUGUGGCAUGCCACGGCAUUGGCAGCUACAUUAAUGGCUUGAAAUCUGUUGUGUUUUGGCCCCUACUUAGAUGCCUUGAUAUCAAAAUGUAAAGGUACAGAGCCAUUCGCAGUGGUCCCUUUAAUUGCAUUCUGCUUCUGUUGUGUUGCCCACAUAAAAGUCACGCUCUUACUAGAGAACUAACCUAGGUCAUCUUCUGUGUGUUAUUCUGCUUCUGCCUUGCUGUGACUUGGGCAAUUUCAGUUGCAUUCUUUAUUGAAUAAAACUAUGUGUACACACUUUUGAAUACACAAA